Molecule: small nuclear RNA, 23 nt
Filed under: Arabidopsis thaliana (thale cress)
Lineage: Eukaryota; Viridiplantae; Streptophyta; Magnoliopsida; Brassicales; Brassicaceae
Description: snRNA_01219
Source: RNAcentral
AGUGUUGGAUUGUUCACCCACCA